This 882-nucleotide non-coding RNA is filed under the name Callionymus curvicornis. RNAcentral's name for it is "Repomucenus curvicornis partial 12S rRNA". It matches the Rfam family "Bacterial small subunit ribosomal RNA", at positions 193 to 1527 of the family's 1533-position model. Lineage: Eukaryota; Metazoa; Chordata; Actinopteri; Syngnathiformes; Callionymidae. The record is from RNAcentral.
AUCCCCGUGAGAAUGCCCACAGCCUUCUAAAGAAGCCUAGGAGCCGGUAUCAGGCCCAUUAAAUAGCCCACAACACCUUGCUUAGCCACACCCCCAAGGGAUUACAGCAGUAAUAAAUAUUAAGCUAUGAGUGAAAACUUGACUUAAUUACAGUUAAUAGGGCCGGUAAAACUCGUGCCAGCCACCGCGGUUAUACGAGAGACCCAAAUUGAUCAACAGCGGCGUAAAGGGUGGUUAAACUAAUUACUAUUAGAGCCAAAUUCUCCCCUGACUGUUAUACGUUACGGGAUGAAGAAGAACUAAAACGAAAGUAGCUUUAAAAUUUUGAAUCCACGAAAGCUAGGACACAAACUGGGAUUAGAUACCCCAUUAUGCCUAGCCGUAAACCCCGAUAAUAUAGUACAUUAAUUAUCCGCCAGGGUACUACGAGCGUAAGCUUAAAACCCAAAGGACUUGGCGGUGCUUUAGACCCCCCUAGAGGAGCCUGUUCUAUAACCGAUAACCCCCGUUAAACCUCACCCUCUUUUGUUUUGUCCGCCUAUAUACCGCCGUCGUCAGCUUACCCUUUGAAGGCUUAUCAGUAAGCAAAAUUGGUCUACCCCAAAACGUCAGGUCGAGGUGCAGUGAAUAAGAGGGGAAGAAAUGGGCUACAUUUACUAGUUUAGUAAACACGGAAGAAGUGCUGAAACGCACUUUUGAAGGAGGAUUUAGCAGUAAAGGCGGAAUAGAGUGCCCCCUUGAAACUGGCCCUGAAGCGCGCACACACCGCCCGUCACUCUCCCCGCAUAACACCCAUCAAAUAUACCUAAACAGAUAUAUUGUUAACUUAGGGGAGGCAAGUCGUAACAUGGUAAGCGUACCGGAAGGUGCUCUUGGAUAAAC